GAGUAAGACCAAGCGGCGGACGGGUGAGUAACGCGUGGGUAACCUGCCCUAUACACAUGGAUAACAUACUGAAAAGUUUACUAAUACAUGAUAAUAUAUAUUUACGGCAUCGUAGAUAUAUCAAAGUGUUAGCGGUAUAGGAUGGACCCGCGUCUGAUUAGCUAGUUGGUGAGAUAACUGCCCACCAAGGCGACGAUCAGUAGCCGACCUGAGAGGGUGAUCGGCCACAUUGGAACUGAGACACGGUCCAAACUCCUACGGGAGGCAGCAGUGGGGAAUAUUGCACAAUGGGCGCAAGCCUGAUGCAGCAACGCCGCGUGAACGAUGAAGGUCUUCGGAUCGUAAAGUUCUGUUGCAGGGGAAGAUAAUGACGGUACCCUGUGAGGAAGCCCCGGCUAACUACGUGCCAGCAGCCGCGGUAAUACGUAGGGGGCUAGCGUUAUCCGGAUUUACUGGGCGUAAAGGGUGCGUAGGUGGUCUUUCAAGUCGGUGGUUAAAGGCUACGGCUCAACCGUAGUUAGCCUCCGAAACUGGAAGACUUGAGUGCAGAAGAGGAAAGUGGAAUUCCCAGUGUAGCGGUGAAAUGCGUAGAUAUUGGGAGGAACACCAGUAGCGAAGGCGGCUUUCUGGACUGCAACUGACACUGAGGCACGAAAGCGUGGGUAGCAAACAGGAUUAGAUACCCUGGUAGUCCACGCUGUAAACGAUGAGUACUAGGUGUCGGGGGUUACCCCCCUCGGUGCCGCAGCUAACGCAUUAAGUACUCCGCCUGGGGAGUACGCACGCAAGUGUGAAACUCAAAGGAAUUGACGGGGACCCGCACAAGUAGCGGAGCAUGUGGUUUAAUUCGAAGCAACGCGAAGAACCUUACCUAAGCUUGACAUCCCUUAGACCGGUGUUUAAUCACACCUUCCCUUCGGGGCUGAGGUGACAGGUGGUGCAUGGUUGUCGUCAGCUCGUGUCGUGAGAUGUUGGGUUAAGUCCCGCAACGAGCGCAACCCUUGUCUUUAGUUGCCAGCAUUCAGUUGGGCACUCUAGAGAGACUGCCAGGGAUAACCUGGAGGAAGGUGGGGAUGACGUCAAAUCAUCAUGCCCCUUAUGCUUAGGGCUACACACGUGCUACAAUGGGUGGUACAGAGGGUUGCCAAACCGUGAGGUGGAGCUAAUCCCUUAAAGCCAUUCUCAGUUCGGAUUGUAGGCUGAAACUCGCCUACAUGAAGCUGGAGUUACUAGUAAUCGCAGAUCAGAAUGCUGCGGUGAAUGCGUUCCCGGGUCU
Molecule: ribosomal RNA, 1276 nt
Filed under: uncultured bacterium
Lineage: Bacteria
Description: bacterial SSU rRNA
Rfam family: Bacterial small subunit ribosomal RNA
Source: RNAcentral